CACGUAGGGCGCGAGCGUUGUCCGGAAUUAUUGGGCGUAAAGAGCUCGUAGGCGGCCUGUUGCGUCCGCUGUGAAAGCCCGGGGCUUAACCCCGGGUCGGCAGUGGAUACGGGCAGGCUAGAGGUAUGCAGGGGAGAACGGAAUUCCUGGUGUAGCGGUGGAAUGCGCAGAUAUCAGGAGGAACACCGGUGGCGAAGGCGGUUCUCUGGGCAUUACCUGACGCUGAGGAGCGAAAGUGUGGGGAGCGAACAGG
Molecule: ribosomal RNA, 253 nt
Filed under: uncultured bacterium
Lineage: Bacteria
Description: partial 16S ribosomal RNA
Rfam family: Bacterial small subunit ribosomal RNA
Source: RNAcentral